RNAcentral lists this ribosomal RNA (468 nucleotides) under uncultured bacterium. RNAcentral's name for it is "partial 16S ribosomal RNA". It matches the Rfam family "Bacterial small subunit ribosomal RNA", at positions 28 to 507 of the family's 1533-position model. The record is from RNAcentral.
GACGAACGCUGGCGGCGUGCUUAACACAUGCAAGUCGAACGGAAAGGCCCUGCUCUUGUGGGGUGCUCGUGUGGCGAACGGGUGAGUAACACGUGAGUAACCUGCCCUUGACUUUGGGAUAACUUCAGGAAACUGGGGCUAAUACCGGAUAGGAGCUACUGCUGCAUGGUGGGGGUUGGAAAGUUUCGGCGGUUGGGGAUGGACUCGCGGCUUAUCAGCUUGUUGGUGGGGUAGUGGCUUACCAAGGGUUUGACGGGUAGCCGGCCUGAGAGGGUGACCGGGCACAAGGGGACUGAGAUACGGCCCAGACGCCUACGGGAGGCAGCAGUGGGGAAUAUUGCAGAGUGGGCGGAAGCCUGAUGCAGCAACGCCGCGUGCGGGAUGACGGCCUUCGGGUUGUAAACCGCUUUGGCCUGUGACGAAGCGUGAGUGACGGUAAUGGGUAAAGAAGCACCGGCUAACUACGUG